CCCUUAGAUGUUCUGGGCCGCACGCGCGCUACACUGACGAAUGCAACGAGCUUAUAACCUUGGCCGAAAGGUCUGGGUAAUCUCCAAAUUUCGUCGUGAUGGGGAUAGAUUAUUGCAAUUAUUAAUCUUCAACGAGGAAUGCCUAGUAAGCGCAAGUCAUCAGCUUGCGUUGAUUACGUCCCUGCCCUUUGUACACACCGCCCGUCGCUCCUACCGAUUGAAUGGUCCGGUGAAGCGCUCGGACCGCGGCCUCUUGACGGGUCUCCGUCGAUUGGCUGUGGGAAGUUCGUUAAACCUUAUCAUUUAGAGGAAGUAAAAGUCGUAACA
Molecule: ribosomal RNA, 327 nt
Filed under: uncultured eukaryote
Lineage: Eukaryota
Description: partial 18S ribosomal RNA
Rfam family: Eukaryotic small subunit ribosomal RNA
Source: RNAcentral